Molecule: small RNA, 17 nt
Filed under: Arabidopsis thaliana (thale cress)
Lineage: Eukaryota; Viridiplantae; Streptophyta; Magnoliopsida; Brassicales; Brassicaceae
Description: ATSL106500
Source: RNAcentral
UUUUGAUAAUUUUUUUU